UUUCCGUAGGUGAACCUGCGGAAGGAUCAUUACCGAUUCGCGACGGUUCGCAGGCGCGGUGCUGCGGGGUUCCCCCCGCGGCCCGCGUCCUGCGGCCAUCGCAUCUACCCUUCACUGUACGAGCACCUUUUCGUUCUCCUUCGGCGGGGCAACCUGCCGCUGGAACCAACAACCAAACCUUUUAUUCACAGCAUUACCCAUUCCGAUACCAACAAUCAAUUACAACUUUCAACAAGGGAUCUCUUGGCUCUGGCAUCGAAGAAGAACGCAGC
Molecule: unclassified non-coding RNA, 272 nt
Filed under: uncultured fungus
Lineage: Eukaryota; Fungi
Description: sequence contains ITS1, 5.8S rRNA gene
Rfam family: 5.8S ribosomal RNA (bases 224-272)
Source: RNAcentral